Molecule: ribosomal RNA, 902 nt
Filed under: Aeromicrobium sp.
Lineage: Bacteria; Bacillati; Actinomycetota; Actinomycetes; Propionibacteriales; Nocardioidaceae
Description: bacterial SSU rRNA
Rfam family: Bacterial small subunit ribosomal RNA
Source: RNAcentral
AAGGGCUCGUAGGCGGUUUGUCGCGUCGGGAGUGAAAACUCAGGGCUCAACCCUGAGCGUGCUUCCGAUACGGGCAGACUAGAGGUAUGCAGGGGAGAACGGAAUUCCUGGUGUAGCGGUGGAAUGCGCAGAUAUCAGGAGGAACACCGGUGGCGAAGGCGGUUCUCUGGGCAUUACCUGACGCUGAGGAGCGAAAGCAUGGGGAGCGAACAGGAUUAGAUACCCUGGUAGUCCAUGCCGUAAACGUUGGGCGCUAGGUGUGGGGACCUUCCACGGUCUCCGUGCCGCAGCUAACGCAUUAAGCGCCCCGCCUGGGGAGUACGGCCGCAAGGCUAAAACUCAAAGGAAUUGACGGGGGCCCGCACAAGCGGCGGAGCAUGCUGAUUAAUUCGAUGCAACGCGAAGAACCUUACCUGGGUUUGACAUAUACCGGAAAGCUGCAGAGAUGUAGCCCCCUUUUGGUCGGUAUACAGGUGGUGCAUGGCUGUCGUCAGCUCGUGUCGUGAGAUGUUGGGUUAAGUCCCGCAACGAGCGCAACCCUCGUUCUAUGUUGCCAGCACGUUAUGGUGGGGACUCAUAGGAGACUGCCGGGGUCAACUCGGAGGAAGGUGGGGAUGACGUCAAGUCUUCAUGCCCCUUAUGUCCAGGGCUUCAAGCAUGCUACAAUGGCCGGUACAAAGGGCUGCGAAACUGUAAGGUGGAGCGAAUCCCAAAAAGCCGGUCUCAGUUCGGAUUGGGGUCUGCAACUCGACCCCAUGAAGUCGGAGUCGCUAGUAAUCGCAGAUCAGCAACGCUGCGGUGAAUACGUUCCCGGGCCUUGUACACACCGCCCGUCACGUCAUGAAAGUCGGCAACACCCGAAGCCAGUGGCCCAACCGUUUACGGAGGGAGCUGUCGAAGGG